GAAAGAUUAAAGGUUUAAUAAAUAAUCCCCUAUGUGUAACUGAUUGUACCACAGAUUUUUAAGAUUAACUGAAUUGGAUUGUUUAUCUGACAGGGGAAUUUGGCAGGAAAUAAGUCUCAGGAAUCCAGCUAUCAGGAACUUCAAUUCCCUCAUAAUAAUGUUUAUAAUAAUUUGAGGAAAACUCCCAGAUAAUAAUCCAGAUUAUUCCCAGCACUGGAGAGUCAAUCCAUUCACCCCUGUUCCUAGUGCACAAUGGAGUGCACAAGCUGGGGGGUUAGAACACUCUAUAUACUGAUCUUCUCAUCAGAACAAAAUGACAAGUCAAAAAAGAUCUUAAUUUCCCCAGACAAUACUUAAAGAAGCCUCAUGUACAUUUUGCCUUUUAGAAGUGAGUUGGGACAGGUCUGAAACGAAGGCUUUUUGAAAUGGGACAAUGUUUUGGGUAUCUGAUUCAACUAUCACAAACUUAACGGCAUAUUUAUUAAAAUGUGACAUUAGAGCUUAGUAAGUAAAAACUCACGCACAUUCUAUUUAUUCUAUUCCUAUCGUAUUUUUAGAAUUGUAUUUAUCAAUGGGAGAAAGGUUGAACUUCCCAUUUGAUAAAUAUGGUUCUGAAAGUCCUC
Molecule: long non-coding RNA, 623 nt
Organism: Xenopus laevis (African clawed frog)
Lineage: Eukaryota; Metazoa; Chordata; Amphibia; Anura; Pipidae
Exons: 3
Source: RefSeq, a predicted model, not a curated record